UGAUGACCUGCAACAGUUGUUUGAUAUGAGA
Molecule: non-coding RNA, 31 nt
Filed under: Rattus norvegicus (Norway rat)
Lineage: Eukaryota; Metazoa; Chordata; Mammalia; Rodentia; Muridae
Source: RNAcentral